RNAcentral lists this unclassified non-coding RNA (503 nucleotides) under Hevea brasiliensis (rubber tree). Lineage: Eukaryota; Viridiplantae; Streptophyta; Magnoliopsida; Malpighiales; Euphorbiaceae. The record is from RNAcentral.
UCAAGUCACUGCCUGACAACCAUCUGUAAACCAAGGUUUAAGCUUGCAACAUUAAACUCUAAACAGAACACAGACAAUAAGGAGGGAGCAGAGAGAAAACCAACAUUCACACAACUAACACGCAAGGUUGAACAACAAAACAAAUAAAUAUAACCACAUUUCUCUAUUUAUGGUUCACAGAUUCAUGAUGGGAAAAAAAAAAAUUCCCAAACAAGUCAGAUGAGACCAUUUUUAGCCUAUCACAAGAAGGCUGAAUUUGUAAGAUACCUGUAGAAGCCAUUUCUGUCAUUGGCAUGCACAGAUUAUCCAAUCUCACGUUGAAACUCCAAGAAUCAGGUUUUUUAAAGAAACAAUCAUUACCCAUUUAAGUACAAAAAAUAAGAAGCACAAGAUUUUCUGGAGAUCCUUCCAGCUUAAAACUAAUGGAAGUUGCUAAAUCAUAAGUUUAAACUAUAGAUAUAGCCUCAAAUUUUACCAUUAGCAAUUUCAGCUUUGUUAAUAAG